UAAUACGUAGGGUGCGAGCGUUAAUCGGAAUUACUGGGCGUAAAGCGUGCGCAGGCGGAUUGUUAAGCAAGACGUGAAAUCCCCGGGCUUAACCUGGGAAUGGCGUUUUGAACUGGCAGUCUAGAGUGCGUCAGAGGGGGGUGGAAUUCCACGUGUAGCAGUGAAAUGCGUAGAGAUGUGGAGGAACACCGAUGGCGAAGGCAGCCCCCUGGGAUGACACUGACGCUCAUGUACGAAAGCGUGGGUAGCAAACAGG
This 256-nucleotide ribosomal RNA is filed under the name uncultured bacterium. Its description in RNAcentral is "partial 16S ribosomal RNA". It matches the Rfam family "Bacterial small subunit ribosomal RNA", at positions 521 to 776 of the family's 1533-position model. The record is from RNAcentral. RNAcentral also lists the same sequence under 1 other name.